UGAACGCUGGCGGCAUGCCUUACACAUGCAAGUCGAACGGCAGCGCGGGGCAACCUGGCGGCGAGUGGCGAACGGGUGAGUAAUAUAUCGGAACGUACCCUAGAGUGGGGGAUAACGUAGCGAAAGUUACGCUAAUACCGCAUACGAUCUAAGGAUGAAAGUGGGGGAUCGCAAGACCUCAUGCUCCUGGAGCGGCCGAUAUCUGAUUAGCUAGUUGGUGGGGUAAAGGCCUACCAAGGCAUCGAUCAGUAGCUGGUCUGAGAGGACGACCAGCCACACUGGAACUGAGACACGGUCCAGACUCCUACGGGAGGCAGCAGUGGGGAAUUUUGGACAAUGGGCGAAAGCCUGAUCCAGCAAUGCCGCGUGAGUGAAGAAGGCCUUCGGGUUGUAAAGCUCUUUUGUCAGGGAAGAAACGGUGAGUUCUAAUACAGCUUGCUAAUGACGGUACCUGAAGAAUAAGCACCGGCUAACUCCGUGCCAGCAGCCGCGGUAAUACGGGGGGUGCGAGCGUUGUCCGGAAUCACUGGGCGUAAAGGGCGCGUAGGUGGUUUGAUAAGGGUGUGGUGAAAGUCCGGGGCUCAACCCCGGAUCUGCCGUGCCGACUGUCAAACUCGAGGACUGUAGAGGCAGACGGAAUUCCGGGUGUAGCGGUGGAAUGCGUAGAGAUCCGGAGGAAGACCGGUGGCGAAGGCGGUCUGCUGGGCAGUUUCUGACACUGAGGCGCGACAGCGUGGGGAGC
This 742-nucleotide ribosomal RNA is filed under the name uncultured soil bacterium. RNAcentral describes it as "bacterial SSU rRNA". It matches the Rfam family "Bacterial small subunit ribosomal RNA", at positions 30 to 769 of the family's 1533-position model. The record is from RNAcentral.